AGAGUUUGAUCCUGGCUCAGGACGAACGCUGGCGGCGUGCUUAACACAUGCAAGUCGAGCGGUAAGGCCCUUCGGGGUACACGAGCGGCGAACGGGUGAGUAACACGUGGGUGAUCUGCCUCGCACUCUGGGAUAAGCCUGGGAAACUGGGUCUAAUACCGGAUAUGACUUCUGAAUGCAUGUUUGGAAGUGGAAAGUUUUUCGGUGCGAGAUGAGCCCGCGGCCUAUCAGCUUGUUGGUGGGGUAAUGGCCUACCAAGGCGACGACGGGUAGCCGGCCUGAGAGGGUGAUCGGCCACACUGGGACUGAGACACGGCCCAGACUCCUACGGGAGGCAGCAGUGGGGAAUAUUGCACAAUGGGCGAAAGCCUGAUGCAGCGACGCCGCGUGAGGGAUGACGGCCUUCGGGUUGUAAACCUCUUUCGACAGGGACGAAGCGCAAGUGACUGUACCUGUAGAAGAAGCACCGGCUAACUACGUGCCAGCAGCCGCGGUAAUACGUAGGGUGCGAGCGUUGUCCGGAAUUACUGGGCGUAAAGAGCUUGUAGGCGGUUCGUCGCGUCGAUCGUGAAAUCGUGCAGCUCAACUGCGCGUCUGCGGUCGAUACGGGCGGACUAGAGUACUUCAGGGGAGACUGGAAUUCCUGGUGUAGCGGUGAAAUGCGCAGAUAUCAGGAGGAACACCGGUGGCGAAGGCGGGUCUCUGGGAAGUAACUGACGCUGAGAAGCGAAAGCAUGGGUAGCAAACAGGAUUAGAUACCCUGGUAGUCCAUGCCGUAAACGGUGGGUACUAGGUGUGGGUUUCCUUCCACGGGAUCCGUGCCGUAGCUAACGCAUUAAGUACCCCGCCUGGGGAGUACGGCCGCAAGGCUAAAACUUAAAGGAAUUGACGG
This 892-nucleotide ribosomal RNA is filed under the name uncultured bacterium. Its description in RNAcentral is "bacterial SSU rRNA". It matches the Rfam family "Bacterial small subunit ribosomal RNA", at positions 8 to 916 of the family's 1533-position model. The record is from RNAcentral.